RNAcentral lists this transfer RNA (72 nucleotides) under Bacillus mycoides. RNAcentral's name for it is "tRNA-Cys". It matches the Rfam family "tRNA". From Rfam's summary of the family: Transfer RNA (tRNA) molecules are approximately 80 nucleotides in length. RNAcentral also lists the same sequence under 1 other name. The record is from RNAcentral. Lineage: Bacteria; Bacillati; Bacillota; Bacilli; Caryophanales; Bacillaceae.
GGCAGCAUAGCCAAGUGGUUAAGACAAAGGUCUGCAAAACCUGAAACCUCGGUUCGAAUCCGAGUGCUGCCU